RNAcentral lists this non-coding RNA (103 nucleotides) under Streptomyces sp. RNAcentral describes it as "ZTP sequence". It matches the Rfam family "ZMP/ZTP riboswitch aptamer (pfl RNA motif)". Rfam says of the family: Previously known as pfl RNA. ZMP is also known as AICAR. Lineage: Bacteria; Bacillati; Actinomycetota; Actinomycetes; Kitasatosporales; Streptomycetaceae. The record is from RNAcentral.
GCCCCGGGCCGUGACUGGCGUUCGGGUGGAUCACCACCGGGGAGCGGCCCGGCGUACGCCUCCACGGUACGUACGUCGUCUGCCGCGCGCCUGGGCGAAACGC